AUGCCCCAGGGCCCACGCGAGCCGCUGUCAGCUCAGUCGGAUCGCAGGUGCAGGACCGGCCAGACGGAGAUCACGGCAGCCGAGGGCCCAGGGCCAAGCUUUAAGGUAGCCUGCACCCUGGCUGUUGUCCUGCUCUGCCUACACUCACUCCUGCCGCACACCAAGGUGGCUGGGACUGCAGAUGAACCAGCAAGGUCCGCCGUGUCAUAUCCACAGGCUGCUUCUGUAGCACCACCAUCACCAGCCAAGUUAGGUGGCCUUUUGUCAUCUCUAUCACCCUGCAAAGUUUUCUGA
RNAcentral lists this long non-coding RNA (294 nucleotides) under Capra hircus (goat). RNAcentral's name for it is "lncRNA (ENSCHIG00000001440.1)". Lineage: Eukaryota; Metazoa; Chordata; Mammalia; Artiodactyla; Bovidae. The record is from RNAcentral.